UACGGGGGGAGCAAGCGUUGUUCGGAUUUACUGGGCGUAAAGGGCGCGUAGGCGGCGCAACAAGUCACUUGUGAAAUCUCCGGGCUUAACCCGGAGCGGCCAAGUGAUACUGUCGUGCUAGAGUGCGGAAGGGGCUACUGGAAUUCUCGGUGUAGCGGUGAAAUGCGUAGAUAUCGAGAGGAACACCUGCGGCGAAGGCGGGUAGCUGGGCCGACAUUGACGCUGAGGAGCGAAAGCGUGGGGAGCGAACAGG
RNAcentral lists this ribosomal RNA (253 nucleotides) under uncultured bacterium. RNAcentral's name for it is "partial 16S ribosomal RNA". It matches the Rfam family "Bacterial small subunit ribosomal RNA", at positions 524 to 776 of the family's 1533-position model. The record is from RNAcentral.